UGACCACUAACACCUCUCAUCUGUGUCCUUGUGACUGGAGCAGUCGGGGUGACUGCUCCAGUAUCUUCAUGUUUCACUGUGAGCAUUAAAGGUAAAAUCAUGGUGUGUGAAGAAGUUGAACCUUCACCUCAUUCAUGUAUGCAGACAAACAUCACCAUGGAAACUGUUUUCUAAUAAUAAACCAAAUGUACAGAAGAGCUGCAUGAAUGUCAACACUGACCUCAUCUAACACUCUUCACACCUUUAACUUCCUCUAUUCUAUUAUGUCUGUUUCUACUGAUGUAGAGUCCCUGGAAAAGAUGACACGAGAGUCUGCAAAUUACACUCAAUAUAAAAGUUAAAAAAAUGUAGAUAUUAAAUUAGUGAAAAACUUUAAGAGAGACGGGGUAGGUAAGGAAACACAAAAGCUAAAAACUGAAAUAAUUUAGAAACAGAGGAAAAGAAAAGGAGUGAUGUCACUAUGAGGAAGUGAGCAGGAAGUUGAUGCUGUAUUCAUCUCUGAGAGCAAGAACAGAGACUGAGAGAGACAGAGAAGCACGAUGGCUGCAUUCACAUGGAUUCAAAUGUCUUCAUUACUGAUACUGAUGCUUCAGUUUAAAGGAAGAACUGAGCAACAUCAAACUGAUCAAACUGUCACAGCUGAACGUGGACAUGAUGUUACUCUGCCUUGUAAAAAUGUGAUACAAGGUCAGCAUAACUGUAUCAGUACUACCUGGAUCUUCAGUGAUUCAAGCAGCUCAGUAGCACUCUUUGACCAUGGGCAGAAUAAAGAAGUCAAACGUAAAUCAGACAGACUGAGUCUUUCUGCAGACUGUUCUCUGGUUAUAAAGAAGGUCACAGAUCAGGAUGUUGGUCAUUACACCUGCAGACAGUACAAAACAGCAACAGGACCACAAGAAUAUUCAGACCUAUUGAUUCAUCUGUCUGUUAUUAACAGUGAGUAUUUACAUCUUAAUGUUUUCAGCUCAAACUGUCCUGUUAGAACAACAAACUGA
Molecule: long non-coding RNA, 995 nt
Filed under: Oreochromis niloticus (Nile tilapia)
Lineage: Eukaryota; Metazoa; Chordata; Actinopteri; Cichliformes; Cichlidae
Description: lncRNA (ENSONIG00000040215.1)
Source: RNAcentral